Molecule: ribosomal RNA, 429 nt
Filed under: Actinomycetes bacterium
Lineage: Bacteria; Bacillati; Actinomycetota; Actinomycetes
Description: Actinobacteria bacterium partial 16S ribosomal RNA
Rfam family: Bacterial small subunit ribosomal RNA
Source: RNAcentral
UAGGGAAUCUUCCGCAAUGGGCGAAAGCCUGACGGAGCAACGCCGCGUGAGUGAUGAAGGUCUUCGGAUCGUAAAACUCUGUUAUUCGGGAAGAACAAAUGUGUAAGUAACUAUGCACGUCUUGACGGUACCUAAUCAGAACGCCACGGCUAACUACGUGCCAGCAGCCGCGGUAAUACGUAGGUGGCAAGCGUUAUCCGGAAUUAUUGGGCGUAAAGCGCGCUUAGGCGGUUUUUUACGUCAGAUGUGAAAGCCGACGGCUCAACCGUGGAGGGUAAUUGAAAACUGAAAAACUUGGGUGCAGAAGAGGAAAGUGGAAUUCAAUGUUUAGCGGUAAAAUGCGCAGAGAUAUGGAGGAACACCAGUGGCAAAGGCGACUUUCUGGUCUGUAACUGACGCGGAUGUGCGAAAGCGGGGGGAUCAAACAGG